AUUGAACGCUGGCGGAAUGCUUUUACACAUGCAAGUCGAGCGGCAGCGCGGGGCAACCUGGCGGCGAGCGGCGAACGGGUGAGUAAUACAUCGGAACGUGCCCAGACGUGGGGGAUAACUACUCGAAAGAGUGGCUAAUACCGCAUACGAUCUAAGGAUGAAAGCGGGGGAUCGCAAGACCUUGCGCUGAUUGAGCGGCCGAUAUCAGAUUAGCUAGUUGGUGAGGUAAAGGCUCACCAAGGCGACGAUCUGUAGCGGGUCUGAGAGGAUGAUCCGCCACACUGGAACUGAGACACGGUCCAGACUCCUACGGGAGGCAGCAGUGGGGAAUUUUGGACAAUGGGGGCAACCCUGAUCCAGCCAUGCCGCGUGAGUGAAGAAGGCCUUCGAGUUGUAAAGCUCUUUCGGCCGGGAAGAAAUCGUAUGGGUUAAUACCCUGUGCGGAUGACGGUACCGGCAUAAGAAGCACCGGCUAACUACGUGCC
RNAcentral lists this ribosomal RNA (485 nucleotides) under uncultured bacterium. Its description in RNAcentral is "bacterial SSU rRNA". It matches the Rfam family "Bacterial small subunit ribosomal RNA", at positions 30 to 509 of the family's 1533-position model. The record is from RNAcentral.